Molecule: ribosomal RNA, 122 nt
Filed under: Periophthalmus magnuspinnatus
Lineage: Eukaryota; Metazoa; Chordata; Actinopteri; Gobiiformes; Gobiidae
Source: RNAcentral
CAUAACAGUCUUACUAUUUUCACAAUUCCCAAUCUUGUUCUGAUCUCGGAAGCUAAGCAAGGUUGGGCUUGGUUAGUACUGGGAUGGGAGUCUGCUUGGAAACAGUAAGGGAGCUGGUAUUC